Molecule: long non-coding RNA, 510 nt
Organism: Diorhabda carinulata
Lineage: Eukaryota; Metazoa; Arthropoda; Insecta; Coleoptera; Chrysomelidae
Exons: 3
Source: RefSeq, a predicted model, not a curated record
AAUUUAUAGAGACAUUUUCUUAAUACACUGGUAGAUUGGAACUAGAACACCUCAUUUUUCUCAUAAAGACUUGAAAAAUAUUGACGGGUAAUCGAUAUACAUUUUUUUUUUUGGGAGCCUGAGAAAUAAAAUAUGGGUCCCGGUCAUGGUCAUCAUCCUCCCUGUCCUUCACGUCAUCGUGGGAUUAUAAGAGAUAUAAUAUACGACUUUUUGGGACCUCAUCACCGCGGUCCUCCCCCUCCUCAUUAUAGACCUCCACCUCCCUAUUAUGGACCUCCACCACCGCCGUCUGGUCGAUUUUAUGGACCUCCUCCGCCACCGCCUCCAGCAGGCUGGUUUGGAUCCCCACCGCCUUGCGGACAUGGUGGAUAUUCACACGGUUGCCACCAUUGUCACCACAGGCAUCACAAUUAAUGGUUAUUGUUGAUUAAAUUUUCAAUAUUCAAAAUAUGUAUAAUAUUAAAUAUGUAUAAUUUUGUAAAUUAACAAAUAAAUAUAUUUUUUUCAGAA